This 226-nucleotide long non-coding RNA is filed under the name Mus spicilegus (steppe mouse). RNAcentral's name for it is "lncRNA (ENSMSIG00000001596.1)". Lineage: Eukaryota; Metazoa; Chordata; Mammalia; Rodentia; Muridae. The record is from RNAcentral.
AGAAUAAUUAAAAGGUCCUUCAUAUUUUCCAGACAAGAGGACUGUGCAUUCGGGGGACACCUGUUUCGAUUUCACAUGCCUCGUGCCAGUAAGCCUGUUUGGAAGGUCUUCAGUGGAUCUCAGGGGCUCCUCUGCUGAUUAUCAACAGUUGCCUCAUUCAGCUGUUUGGUUUUUAUACAAUGGUGAAUUGAAGCUUGAUUUCAUUCAACCUCCAAGUCACUUUUUA